RNAcentral lists this long non-coding RNA (1067 nucleotides) under Marmota monax (woodchuck). The record is from RNAcentral. Lineage: Eukaryota; Metazoa; Chordata; Mammalia; Rodentia; Sciuridae.
CUUUAGGCCAUGAUGUGAUGAGGAGUGAGAAGAGCAAAAGGCAAGGCAUUCACUUUCUCCACUAUCUCCUCUCCAUUGCCAGGGAUCUUACAUGGGUCUUCAUUAUUCUGAAAACUCUUCUACCAUUAAUUCCAUUUGUGUCAUUUUCAAUAAAAAAUAUAAUUUCACAGUUACUGCUGAUUAACUCAUCCCCAGGAAAAAAAGACUACUUUUGCAACUGUAAGAGAAUAUUUAAAACUAUGUGGAAAGGAAUUUGUGUGUGUGAGAGUGUGUGUUGGGCAACAGGGAGAAUAUUCUUUUUAAUUUUUUUUUGCUGUUUGGACCUUUGUUGAGGCUCCUCUAUUGAGUACUAAUUUCUCUAAUAGUACUCAAACAGAGUCACUAAGUGUUGGGCUCUUAUGAAAAGUAGUCUUAGUGUCUGGUGGCCUACAUUUAUAGAUUAAACAAAAACCCUACAUUUUUUUCAUAGGUGCUUAUUUAUUAUCUCAUUAUCCUUCUAUGUCAAAUUAGCCAGAUCAGUUCCCAUGUAGAGAGUAUGGUUUACCUUAAAUUCUCUCAAAAAUAAGACUGGAUAUAAACAUGCAGACAAAAUACAAACAACAGGGAGUUUAAUAAAACAACUAGUGAAAUCAUUUCCAAGAAAUGAGAUUACUCUAAACUGAAAUCUUUAUUAAAAUGUUGAGGAAGAUAAAGUAUGCUUGAUUUACUUCAGCAAAACCUGCAAAAUGUAGCACUGCUAGGAAAAUGUUUAGUAGGUUUGUAUUAAUGCAGAUUUUGCCUUAUUUCAGGACAAGGGGAUAUGAUGAUGAUGAGAUUGGAAAGGGUGGAGAAGCAAUGUUGUAACUCUGAUCAUGAGCAAAAACAGUUCCAGAAUGUUGUGAUGGGUGUUGUUUAGCAUUUGCUUGGCAAAAUAACUCUCUUUACUUAGCAUUGCAAAAUCUGGACAAGGUCCAGCAAUCAUUUCACCACCAGAACCACCCUUAGAGAUAGGUGGUUUCUGACAAGGUGCCAUUUCAGAUAUAUUUGGAAAGUCCCUUUGUCUACACUGUCUCUUGCCUCUAUGCCAU